Molecule: ribosomal RNA, 440 nt
Filed under: uncultured bacterium
Lineage: Bacteria
Description: bacterial SSU rRNA
Rfam family: Bacterial small subunit ribosomal RNA
Source: RNAcentral
CCUACGGGUGGCAGCAGUGGGGAAUAUUGGACAAUGGGCGAAAGCCUGAUCCAGCAAUGCCGCGUGAGUGAUGAAGGCCUUAGGGUUGUAAAGCUCUUUUACCCGGGAUGAUAAUGACAGUACCGGGAGAAUAAGCCCCGGCUAACUCCGUGCCAGCAGCCGCGGUAAUACGGAGGGGGCUAGCGUUGUUCGGAAUUACUGGGCGUAAAGCGCACGUAGGCGGCUUUGUAAGUUAGAGGUGAAAGCCCAGGGCUCAACCCUGGAAUUGCCUUUAAGACUGCAUCGCUUGAACAUCGGAGAGGUAAGUGGAAUUCCGAGUGUAGAGGUGAAAUUCGUAGAUAUUCGGAAGAACACCAGUGGCGAAGGCGACUUACUGGACGAUUGUUGACGCUGAGGUGCGAAAGCGUGGGGAGCAAACAGGAUUAGAUACCCUAGUAGUC